Molecule: long non-coding RNA, 659 nt
Filed under: Setaria viridis
Lineage: Eukaryota; Viridiplantae; Streptophyta; Magnoliopsida; Poales; Poaceae
Description: long non-coding RNA (SVIR_LNC004268)
Source: RNAcentral
GUCGAGGUCCGCCACAAGCUCGCAGCACGUGAGCCGGAGCAGGAAGCUCUGGUCCGGGGACGUCAGUCGCGCGACACCCUCGGAGCGCAAGACAUCGGCGCGGAGCCUCCGGAACUCCGUGUCAGACAGCCUCCGGUGGAGGGACACGAGCCGCGACAUGGUGGCAGUCGCCUCGAAGGCCAGGAUGCUGAGCUCGUCGGCCCUAGUGCCGCCAGCGCUGAAUCGCGACCGCAGUUCGGCGACCCAUGACCCGGCCUCCCGCGAGGGCAUGGCAGCCGGCAGGCCGGUGUGGAGUAGAGGCGAGGCAGAAGGAGAGAGAGGAGGGAGAAGGGUGGUGGGAUUCACGGGGGCAAAAUCAUCUUUUUAUAGGGUAUUUAACGAUUCACGGAUGGAAAAUCCAACAGAGUGUCAUAUAAGGAAUGAAAGUUGAACUUGGUGUCAAAAAGGGAACGAAAAUUUUCUAAGAGCUAAGAAAGAAACAAGUAGUUUUUUAGUGUCAAAUAGGGAAUUAUCUCAAACAAUUUUGUUAUGGGAUCCAAAUGGAGAUCAGACUUUGGUGAAUAACAUUACAUAAGUUCCCCUGAUAAUAAAAGGGGACUUAGUAUAACUGAAUUUCUAUUAGAUUCUACGGAUUUGGAUUAAAAAAUCCUUUCGGUAAC